GGGGCGGCGUCGUGACGACCGCCUUCUGGAGCUGCGCCGCCGACGCCUGGCUCGCCGGCUUCUCCGGAUCGGACGGCGGCCUGGUGUUCCUACCCCUCGAGGUGGCCGCCUGCAACCACAGCCUGGUGCUACUCCCGGCGGGCAGGACUUGCACUCGCCACCACGCACAGUGCGAACGGGCGUCGGCGGACAACUACACGUGCUGGUGUGUGGGGGCGGGCGAUGCUGUGGCGGCUGGAGCGGGGGCGGCG
Molecule: long non-coding RNA, 251 nt
Organism: Schistocerca piceifrons (Central American locust)
Lineage: Eukaryota; Metazoa; Arthropoda; Insecta; Orthoptera; Acrididae
Exons: 3
Source: RefSeq, a predicted model, not a curated record